GGUUUCGUGGUGUAGUGGUCAGCAUGCUCGACGCGUAACCGAGAGGUCCGUGGUUCGAUUCCCGGCGUGGGCA
Molecule: non-coding RNA, 73 nt
Organism: Stegodyphus mimosarum
Lineage: Eukaryota; Metazoa; Arthropoda; Arachnida; Araneae; Eresidae
Source: Rfam